RNAcentral lists this transfer RNA (329 nucleotides) under Thioploca ingrica. RNAcentral describes it as "tRNA-Und (NNN) (tRNA-Und-NNN-1-1)". Lineage: Bacteria; Pseudomonadati; Pseudomonadota; Gammaproteobacteria; Thiotrichales; Thiotrichaceae. The record is from RNAcentral.
GCGCCCGUAGCUCAUCCGGAUAGAGCAUCGGCCUUCUAAAGCAUAAUUGGACCCAUAAUAGAAAACAAGAACUGUUAUGGUGGAUGGUGCUGUAUCGGUGAACCCUGUAAAAUGGCAACACCGAGGAAACCGAAUGAGUAGUAAAGGGGUAAAUUCAGUUUAUCGGUAACUACUCUAAGGCAUAACGUCUAGGGUUCCGUAGAGGCCAUAUGCACCAUGCCUGAGAAGGCAAAGAUAUGGUCCAGACCACAAACAAGACCACCAGCUUGGUAGUGAAAACUAUAGUGGUAUGAAGCCGAGGGUAGCAGGUUCGAGUCCUGUCGGGCGCG